CUACGGGUUGCUCCAGUGAGGAAUAUUGCACAAUGGGGGGAACCCUGAUGCAGCAACGCCGCGUGGAGGAUGACGCAUUUCGGUGUGUAAACUCCUUUUAUAUGUCAAGAAAAUGACGGUAGCAUAUGAAUAAGCACCGGCUAACUCCGUGCCAGCAGCCGCGGUAAUACGGAGGGUGCAAGCGUUACUCGGAAUCACUGGGCGUAAAGGACGCGUAGGCGGGUUGGAAAGUCAGGUGUGAAAUCCUACAGCUUAACUGUAGAACUGCACUUGAAACUUCUAAUCUAGAGUAUGGGAGGGGGAGAUGGAAUUAGUGGUGUAGGGGUAAAAUCCGUAGAUGUCACUAGGAAUACCUAAAGCGAAGGCGAUCUUCUGGAACAUUACUGACGCUAAGGCGUGAAAGCGUGGGGAGCAAACAGGAUUAGAUACCCGGGUAGUC
RNAcentral lists this ribosomal RNA (439 nucleotides) under uncultured bacterium. RNAcentral describes it as "partial 16S ribosomal RNA". It matches the Rfam family "Bacterial small subunit ribosomal RNA", at positions 339 to 795 of the family's 1533-position model. The record is from RNAcentral.